This 465-nucleotide ribosomal RNA is filed under the name Vreelandella stevensii. Its description in RNAcentral is "partial 16S ribosomal RNA". It matches the Rfam family "Bacterial small subunit ribosomal RNA", at positions 338 to 795 of the family's 1533-position model. The record is from RNAcentral. Lineage: Bacteria; Pseudomonadati; Pseudomonadota; Gammaproteobacteria; Oceanospirillales; Halomonadaceae.
CCUACGGGGGGCAGCAGUGGGGAAUAUUGGACAAUGGGGGCAACCCUGAUCCAGCCAUGCCGCGUGUGUGAAGAAGGCCCACGGGUUGUAAAGCACUUUCAGUGAGGAAGAACGCCUGGUGGUUAAUACCCAUCAGGAAAGACAUCACUCACAGAAGAAGCACCGGCUAACUCCGUGCCAGCAGCCGCGGUAAUACGGAGGGUGCGAGCGUUAAUCGGAAUUACUGGGCGUAAAGCGCGCGUAGGUGGCUUGAUAAGCCGGUUGUGAAAGCCCCGGGCUCAACCUGGGAACGGCAUCCGGAACUGUCAAGCUAGAGUGCAGGAGAGGAGGGUAGAAUUCCCGGUGUAGCGGUGAAAUGCGUAGAGAUCGGGAGGAAUACCAGUGGCGAAGGCGGCCUUCUGGACUGACACUGACACUGAGGUGCGAAAGCGUGGGUAGCAAACAGGAUUAGAUACCCCAGUAGUC